AACGAACGCUGGCGGCAUGCCUAACACAUGCAAGUCGAACGAAACCUUCGGGUCUAGUUGCGCACGGGUGCGUAACGCGUGGGAACCUGCCCUUAGGUUCGGAAUAACUCCCCGAAAGGGGUGCUAAUACCGGAUAAUGUCUUCGGACCAAAGAUUUAUCGCCUUUGGAUGGGCCCGCGUUGGAUUAGCUAGUUGGUAGGGUAAAAGCCUACCAAGGCGAGGAUCCAUAGCUGGUCUGAGAGGAUGAUCAGCAACACUGGGACUGAGACACGGACCAGACUCGUACGGGAGGCAGCAGUGGGGAAUAUUGGACAAGGGGCGAAAGCCUGAUCCAGCAAUGCCGGGUGAGUGAUGAAGGCCUUAGGGUUGUAAAGCUCUUUUAGCCGGGAUGAUAAUGACAGUACCGGGAGAAUAAGCUCCGGCUAACUCCGUG
Molecule: ribosomal RNA, 433 nt
Filed under: uncultured bacterium
Lineage: Bacteria
Description: partial 16S ribosomal RNA
Rfam family: Bacterial small subunit ribosomal RNA
Source: RNAcentral